Molecule: long non-coding RNA, 364 nt
Filed under: Homo sapiens (human)
Lineage: Eukaryota; Metazoa; Chordata; Mammalia; Primates; Hominidae
Description: non-protein coding lnc-CCDC28A-3:1
Source: RNAcentral
AAACGCCUAAACUUUAGCAUGACAUAGUAGGCCAUGAGCCCAUAGUUCCUUCCCUCAGAUUGUCAAGGAAACACUCUAGACUCCUUAUCAAGUUUGAUCCUUUAAAGAUAGGAAAGUUAAGAGGCUGCUUCUUGAAACUCAAUUCUGAUCCUCUUUUUUCCUUCUCAAUUACAGUCUCAGGUGGACAUGUUGAUAAUUUAAAUGAUGUUUAAUUUCUUCACUGAUUCCAACCUUUUAUUUCUUUUGACUUCUACUUAUCUCAACACAAUUCUACAUCCUAGAUUGCUAGAGUUAAUAGUAAGGUUGUCUGGGCAUUGUUAGCCAAGUAACAUAACUUAUUCAGAUCAACAAAAAAUGUGCUAUG